Molecule: long non-coding RNA, 584 nt
Filed under: Canis lupus familiaris (dog)
Lineage: Eukaryota; Metazoa; Chordata; Mammalia; Carnivora; Canidae
Description: lncRNA (ENSCAFG00845012679.1)
Source: RNAcentral
GGCCGACUGGGUCUUCGUGCACAUGCGUAUCCUGGAGUUGCGCGUCCGCUGUAGGCCGCUUGCGGCUGCGAGGGUCCGCAGGGCUGUCGCGGGUUUAUUUAAUCGGCACGGACUCUUCUGUCAGGUGUCAGACUCCUGUUCCUCCUGCGGCUGUCCGGCGCGUGCCUGUUCCGUCUGGGCACGAGUCCGUGAGAGAGAAGUCACGCCCUCUUCCCCAGAGGGUGUGGAGCGCGAGGUUCGCGCGGUGAGUCCGGGGCGAGUGAGGGCCCUAGCCCUGGGCUGUGUGGCCUUUGUGUGGGUGGUGAGCGAGCUGCAGGCCUAUUUCUUUACCAUUACUCAUGUUGAAACCCUACAGAUACACAUCUCCCAAGUCAUGCUGAUGGGUAAAUACCACACUUUAUGGUGUCCGUCAUUUAAGGGAUAACCCAACUUGUGGAAUUCCUAAACAGGAUGAGACCAAUGGAAAAUGGAAUUGGCCACAUAUCCUGGUAAGCACACUAGCUGAACUUUUUGGUGUAUGGAUGGCUCUCUUGUCUGUGUCUCUAUUGGCUUACUCUAGCACAAGUAGAGAAGAACUGGAGUUA